Molecule: ribosomal RNA, 314 nt
Filed under: uncultured bacterium
Lineage: Bacteria
Description: partial 16S ribosomal RNA
Rfam family: Bacterial small subunit ribosomal RNA
Source: RNAcentral
GUAUAAGAGACAGCAGUAGCCGCGGUAAUACAGAGGGUGCGAGCGUUAAUCGGAUUUACUGGGCGUAAAGCGUGCGUAGGCGGCUUUUUAAGUCGGAUGUGAAAUCCCUGAGCUUAACUUAGGAAUUGCAUUCGAUACUGGGAAGCUAGAGUAUGGGAGAGGAUGGUAGAAUUCCAGGUGUAGCGGUGAAAUGCGUAGAGAUCUGGAGGAAUACCGAUGGCGAAGGCAGCCAUCUGGCCUAAUACUGACGCUGAGGUACGAAAGCAUGGGGAGCAAACAGGAUUAGAUACCCCAGUAGUCCCUGUCUCUUAUAC